AGAACGGUGGUGUAGCGGAAGCACGCCCCCCGCCACGGGGGCAGCGCUGGUUCGAGUCCAGCUCGUUCUC
RNAcentral lists this transfer RNA (70 nucleotides) under Variovorax sp. OV084. Its description in RNAcentral is "tRNA_Gly_CCC". It matches the Rfam family "tRNA". Rfam says of the family: Transfer RNA (tRNA) molecules are approximately 80 nucleotides in length. Their secondary structure includes four short double-helical elements and three loops (D, anti-codon, and T loops). Lineage: Bacteria; Pseudomonadati; Pseudomonadota; Betaproteobacteria; Burkholderiales; Comamonadaceae. The record is from RNAcentral. RNAcentral also lists the same sequence under 1 other name.